RNAcentral lists this transfer RNA (549 nucleotides) under Streptomyces scabiei. RNAcentral's name for it is "tRNA-Met". Lineage: Bacteria; Bacillati; Actinomycetota; Actinomycetes; Kitasatosporales; Streptomycetaceae. The record is from RNAcentral.
AUGGAGUUCUUCUGCUAUCACCGCGAUCGUCCCGGCUCCCUCGCCCUGCGCGAGAAGCUGGUGGAGGAACACUGGUCCUACAUGGACCGGUACGCGAAGGAGCUGAUCGCUCGUGGUCCGACCUUCGCCGAUGACGGGGAAACACCGACGGGCAGCGUACACAUCGUCGACCUGCCCGAUGCGACCGCCGCCCGCGCGUUCGCCUUCGACGAGCCCGGCUAUCAGGCCGGCGCGUACCGGGACGUGCUGCUCCGCAGGUGGCGCAACGUGCUGGGGCGCACCAUGUGGGACUUUCCCGGUGGCCGUACCGGCGGCAACCGGUACCUGGUGAUCGGCCUCGGCGAGGGCCCGGCAGCCGACCUCGCCCCGCCGCUCGACCGGGAGGAACUGAUCGCGUACGGGCCCCUGUUGUCCGACGACGGCGACACCUGGCUGGGCACGGGGGCGCUGCUCAGGGCCCCGGACGCGGAAACGGCACGAGCCGUCCUGACGGCAGACCGGUAUGCGGACAUCGAGGUCCACGACUGGGAGUUCGGCGGGCGCCGAUGA